Molecule: ribosomal RNA, 433 nt
Filed under: uncultured bacterium
Lineage: Bacteria
Description: partial 16S ribosomal RNA
Rfam family: Bacterial small subunit ribosomal RNA
Source: RNAcentral
AACGAACGCUGGCGGCAUGCCUAACACAUGCAAGUCGAACGAGACCUUCGGGUCUAGUGGCGCACGGGUGCGUAACGCGUGGGAACCUGCCCUUAGGUUCGGUAUAACUCCCCGAAAGGGGUGCUAAUACCGGUUAAUGUCUUCGGACCAAAGAUUUAUCGCCUUUGGAUGGGCCCGCGUUGGAUUAGCUAGUUGGUAGGGUAAAAGCCUACCAAGGCGACGAUCCAUAGCUGGUCUGAGAGGAUGAUCAGCCACACUGGGACUGAGACACGGCCCAGACUCCUACGGGAGGCAGCAGUGGGGAAUAUUGGACAAUGGGCGAAAGCCUGAUCCAGCAAUGCCGCGUGAGUGAUGAAGGGCUUAGGGUUGUAAAGCUCUUUUACCCGGGAUGAUAAUGACAGUACCGGGAGAAUAAGCUCCGGCUAACUCCGUG